RNAcentral lists this ribosomal RNA (490 nucleotides) under uncultured bacterium. RNAcentral's name for it is "partial 16S ribosomal RNA". It matches the Rfam family "Bacterial small subunit ribosomal RNA", at positions 30 to 507 of the family's 1533-position model. The record is from RNAcentral.
AUUGAACGCUGGCGGCAGGCCUAACACAUGCAAGUCGAACGGUAACAGGAAACAGCUUGCUGUUUCGCUGACGAGUGGCGGACGGGUGAGUAAUGUCUGGGAAACUGCCUGAUGGAGGGGGAUAACUACUGGAAACGGUAGCUAAUACCGCAUAACGUCGCAAGACCAAAGAGGGGGACCUUCGGGCCUCUUGCCAUCGGAUGUGCCCAGAUGGGAUUAGCUAGUAGGUGGGGUAACGGCUCACCUAGGCGACGAUCCCUAGCUGGUCUGAGAGGAUGACCAGCCACACUGGAACUGAGACACGGUCCAGACUCCUACGGGAGGCAGCAGUGGGGAAUAUUGCACAAUGGGCGCAAGCCUGAUGCAGCCAUGCCGCGUGUAUGAAGGAGGCCUUCGGGUUGUAAAGUACUUUCAGCGGGGAGGAAGGGAGUAAAGUUAAUACCUUUGCUCAUUGACGUUACCCGCAGAAGAAGCACCGGCUAACUCCGUG